GUUAUCUGAAAUCAGAUCACUUUGGUGUAUGGGCUCUUUAUUUAAAUAUGCUGAGCCCAGGAAUUUGUAGUGUUCAGGUCACACUUUAGGUGUUCACAUUGCACUAAAAAAUUGUAGAGGUUGUGAUGUGUGAUGUAACUUUGUUUUCUAACCAUAUGAUUCUACACACUGAUGUAUGUAGGGUUGGGAUGGAGAAGGAUUUAAACUGAUUUCUUUUUCUCUUUGCCAUUCAGGCAAUGGGAGGCAAGGGAAAAAGAAAUUCAAAAUUGGGAGCAUGCAGAGGGAGGUUGAGGAGGAAGGAAAAAACAGAUGUGUCUUUUGGAAGUCAAUAAUGGAACGUUUUUGCUACGUUCAAAGGGAAAGGCUACCCACUCCAGUAUUCUGGCCUAGAGAAUUCCACCGACUAUAUAGUCCAUGCGGUUGCAAAGAGUCGGACACGACUGGGCAACUUUCAUUUUCAAUGGCUUGCUAUAGGAUUGGAAGUUUGCAUUUUUAGAAAUUUAUUCUUUCCAUCAAGAUGCAAAUAUUCAGAAGAGGAGAAUCCCUUUACACUAAAACCGAAAGUUUAGUUUUCAGCUAAAUACUAGCAUGUUAUUAAAUGUAUACCUACUUUUUAAAUUUACGGCAAGAUCUUUCAGGAAGAGGACCCAGAAGAAAACUACCUUGGGAUUUGAGAGUUGGUGGGUGAAUGGGAAGCAAACACCAUGUGUGGGAAAAGGAGUGAUUAAAGGGAGAUGGAAAGCACUAAAAAAAGAUCCUCUAGACCACAUUUUUAGUGGGUCAGGCUGAGUUGCUCUUGCCAUGUUUCAGUGUUUGUUUUUUUCCUACUACUGCCUGUAUCUUUAGAUUCCAUUCUUUUUUUUAGAAGCAGGGACUAGUAGUUGGUUGCUUUGUUUUGUUUUUAAUUUUAGUGUGCAUUCUUUGCCACUCUGUGUUGAUAAUCCCAAGUUGAUUUUUAAUUUUUAACAAGUAAUGAGUAAAUCUAAAAGUCUAAAGAAGCAC
Molecule: long non-coding RNA, 1002 nt
Organism: Bos taurus (domestic cattle)
Lineage: Eukaryota; Metazoa; Chordata; Mammalia; Artiodactyla; Bovidae
Source: Ensembl